This 556-nucleotide ribosomal RNA is filed under the name uncultured bacterium. RNAcentral describes it as "partial 16S ribosomal RNA". It matches the Rfam family "Bacterial small subunit ribosomal RNA", at positions 355 to 905 of the family's 1533-position model. The record is from RNAcentral.
UGGGGAAUUUUGGACAAUGGGCGAAAGCCUGAUCCAGCAAUGCCGCGUGUGUGAAGAAGGCCUUCGGGUUGUAAAGCACUUUUGUCCGGAAAGAAAUCCUUGGCUCUAAUACAGUCGGGGGAUGACGGUACCGGAAGAAUAAGCACCGGCUAACUACGUGCCAGCAGCCGCGGUAAUACGUAGGGUGCAAGCGUUAAUCGGAAUUACUGGGCGUAAAGCGUGCGCAGGCGGUUUGCUAAGACCGAUGUGAAAUCCCCGGGCUCAACCUGGGAACUGCAUUGGUGACUGGCAGGCUAGAGUAUGGCAGAGGGGGGUAGAAUUCCACGUGUAGCAGUGAAAUGCGUAGAGAUGUGGAGGAAUACCGAUGGCGAAGGCAGCCCCCUGGGCCAAUACUGACGCUCAUGCACGAAAGCGUGGGGAGCAAACAGGAUUAGAUACCCUGGUAGUCCACGCCCUAAACGAUGUCAACUAGUUGUUGGGGAUUCAUUCCUUAGUAACGUAGCUAACGCGUGAAGUUGACCGCCUGGGGAGUACGGUCGCAAGAUUAAAACUCAAA